GGGCUGCAGUAUAUUGACUGUACAAAGGUAGCAUAAUCAUUAGUCAUUUAAUUGAUGACUUGUAUGAAAGAUUGGAUGAAAUAUAAACUGUCUCUUUGUUAUUUAUAUAGAAUUUAAUUUUUUAAUUAAAAAGUUAAAAUAAAAUAAAAAGACGAGAAGACCCUAUAGAGUUUUAUAUUUAAGUUAAUUAAGGUUAUUUAUAAAAAUUUUAAUUAAAAUUAUUUUAAAUAUUUUGUUGGGGUGACAAAAAAAUAAAAAUAACUUUUUUUUAAAAUUAACAUAUAUAAGUGAUUUAAUGAUCCAAUAUUAUUGAUUAUAAGAAAAAAUUACCUUAGGGAUAACAGCGUAAUUUUUUUUUUUAGUUCAAAUAAAAAAAAGAGUUUGCGACCUCGAUGUUGGAUUAAGAUAAAAUUUAAAUG
RNAcentral lists this ribosomal RNA (419 nucleotides) under Spodoptera evanida. RNAcentral's name for it is "partial 16S ribosomal RNA". The record is from RNAcentral. Lineage: Eukaryota; Metazoa; Arthropoda; Insecta; Lepidoptera; Noctuidae.